GAUGAACGCUGGCGGCGUGCCUAACACAUGCAAGUCGAACGGAGGAGGCGGAGCUUGCUCUGCUGGAUCAGUGGCGAACGGGUGAGUAACACGUGUGCAAACUGCACCUGACUCUGGGAUAAGCGCUGGGAACGGCGGCUAAUACUGGAUACGAGCUGCUGAGGCAUCUUCAGCAGCUGGAAAGAAGUGCGGUCAGGGAUGGGUUCGCGGGCUAUCAGCUUGUUGGUGAGGUAAUGGCUCACCAAGGCGUCGACGGGUAGGCGGCCUGAGAGGGUGACCGGCCACACGGGGACUGAGAGACGGCCCAGACUGCUACGGGAGGCAGCAGUGGGGAAUAUUGCAGAGUGGGCGCAAGCCUGAUGCAGCAACGCCGGGUGAGUGAAGACGGCCUUCGGGUUGUAAACAUAUGUGAGAAGGGAAGAAGCGAAAGUGACGGUACCUGCAGAAAAAGCGACGGCUAACUACGUG
This 468-nucleotide ribosomal RNA is filed under the name uncultured bacterium. RNAcentral describes it as "partial 16S ribosomal RNA". It matches the Rfam family "Bacterial small subunit ribosomal RNA", at positions 28 to 507 of the family's 1533-position model. The record is from RNAcentral.